Diorhabda sublineata is the source of this 1303-nucleotide long non-coding RNA. RefSeq lists it as uncharacterized. The record is from RefSeq and is a predicted model, not a curated record. The transcript is spliced from 3 exons. Lineage: Eukaryota; Metazoa; Arthropoda; Insecta; Coleoptera; Chrysomelidae.
UUUAACUGGAUUUAUGAAAUAAAAUAAAGGUUUUAUUAUGGAGGGCAUAUUUUUAUGAGAUAUAGGCUUGGCUUAAGGGAGGAAAGACUUACAGUAAGAAAAAACUUAAAAAUAAUGAACAUUCGAAUUGUAAACUCUUGAUGUUUAUAUCCAUUUUCUGAUUAGGUUAAGUUUACUUCAAAUGCGAUUAGGUUAGGUUUACUUUAAUUUAGGUUAGGUUAUCCCAAUAGGUCGAUAAUCGAGGGAAAAUAUAUUUUACUAGAAGUACUGCCGCGUCGUUACUUGUAAUUCUUAAAUCCAAUUCGAAAAGCCGAACUGGAAGUUAACCCAUUCAAUUAUUAACGAGCAAAUAUUUCUGCCAUAUCCGCCAUGACUCAAAGAAAGUUCAGAAUGUGGUAUGGUUCUAGCUGUCAAAAUGUAAUACUUUGGAGUUGCUUUUACAUAAUGUGGCUAGAGGUUUCGUAUUCCACGUAGCAGAAUCUGUACGUUGAAUCCUAGCGUCUACAGGUGUCCAUUCAGGCGGUAGUACCCCGUCAAUACUCCAGAGGGUAUUCAAGUUGAGUUGAGUCUUCCUGAGGAAAAUUGAAUAGCUACAGACUUGCUAAAGUAGGAACAAAUAAACCCUUCAUAGGACCCUACCCCUUUUAAGAAAUCAAAUACAGAACAAUGAAGAAAACUUUGAAAAAGAGUGUAGAUUGGGAAAAACAGUUACUGGACCAAUCUACCUAGGUUGGGACACUACAGGACUCCAGUGGUUCACACCACACGAAGAUCUCUGGCAGCUAAAGCCAUUCCAGAUCCUGAAGUUUCUAAGGGGAGUUGGAUUAAUACAUCAACUUUAAAUACUGAGAAUCCCCAGGUCACGACAAGAAAAAAGACAGAAUAGAUCCUUUGGGUCAAAAAUUAGCUGGGAAAACUAAAAAGUCAGAUUAAAAACUCAGAAAUUAUCUAUGAAAUCUAUCUAUUGAAAUGAGUUGCUCUUUGUUACAACUCUAUGUUUUAUUGGCUGAAAAUGAAGGCAUUAAUCCACUAAGGAAAAAUAUUUUCUAGUGGAAGAUUUGGAUACAACGCCCAAUAUGCUUUUUUUGAGUUCACUAUAGUUCGUUUAGAUUUCAUUAAAUAAAUAGUAUAUAGGAAAAUAUGCUAUUUUAAAAACAUAAGAGGCUUUUUUUAAUAUCCAAUUAUGCUAGUAAGUAGGUAUCAUAGUUUAUCAAAGUUUAUUCAUAACCUUUCAACAAAAUUCAGUCUCAAGUACUGAAUUUUUGGAUACUUUUGUUUGUACACAGACUAUUAUAAUGAGUAA